GUCGCCGCACACCCCCCUCCCCGCGGGCUAGCGCUCGGGUUCCACCCACGACAGAGCCCCUCGGCCUGCCCCUCUCGUCCGUACCCCACGUGGCAGCGAGGGGCUGGUUUAGCCCCGGGUGCUCCACCAGGCAGGUGUAUCUGUGCUCUUCCCCGGGAGGCACGGCCACGGCCAACCAGCCCUGGUAGGUCCCGUCCCCGUUGGGCAGCACGUCCUGAGGCUCAACGUCCUUGGCCUCCAGUGGCCGCCUGUCCUUCAGCCACCUCAUGGUGAUGUUCUGGGGGUAGAAGUUCAGAGCCUGACACCGUAGAGUGGUCACUGCAGAGGCCACAUGAUGAGUCACCUUCAGCAAGGGAGGCACUGGACAGGAAGGAGGAAGGAUCUGGAGAGGGGAUCUUUCCACCCUUGCCAGGAAGACUGGAGCUUUCACUUCCCUCCUCUACAGGUUAGAGGGACAAGACGCCCUAUUCAGACGGGGCGGGCUGCCGGAGAGACGCCAUUCUGUGUCCUAGAGCUCGCCGCGGGGCUCGGCCCUGACGUGGCGCUAUGGGGACGGCAGCCGAGUCUGUCCGCCUGGCCCGCACACGAGCGUGCACGCCUGCAGCUCGGAUCUUCUGCGUGUUACACGGAACCAGAUGCUGGGAGGUCUGCUGCUGAACCACCCGGGGCACCUUUUCAGCACUAAGACACUUGCAAAGCAAAUAGGGAAGAAGCCCCAGGAAGCACAAGCCCUGUAUCCAGCAGGUGAGUUUCCCUGACAGCUUCCUCAGUCCUGGAACGAGGGGUUCGGUGCUGGGGGCCCCUGCCUGCCCAGCAUGAGAGGUGCUCAGCACAGACUUGCUGGAUGAAUGGGUGAGAUGUGCCCUAUUUUUAUUCUUACGCCCAGCUGCCCACGGGACACCACCCGCGGGGAUGACCAACUGGAAUCUCAAGUCCCAAACCAGGCUCCGGAUUUCUUCUGCCUUCACCGUCGCGGCCAUGGCAUCACCUGUCGCCUUACUCCUCGAGCCCAUAAACAUUUUAAAAUAAUUGCAU
Long non-coding RNA from Acinonyx jubatus (cheetah), 1035 nucleotides. RefSeq lists it as uncharacterized. The transcript has 2 exons. The record is from RefSeq and is a predicted model, not a curated record. NCBI's taxonomy places the organism in Eukaryota, Metazoa, Chordata, Mammalia, Carnivora, Felidae.